AAGCCUGAGAAAUUUUUCGUUAUCCCUAAAUAAAAUCCAUAUCAUUCCCAACUGAACUCUCGAGUGAGGGAAUCACAACACUUGCAUUAAACCAAGCAAAUGGCGGCAGAGACUCUGAGAUUAGCCGGUUCCAGUUCAUAUUCGCUUUGCACCUUCAAUGACUUUCCAACGUCGAGGGGAGCUACCUCUUCCUCCAGACCAAUUCGGUUUCAGGGUCUCCCUCCUCGAGCUUCAAUCUCUCCUUCUUCAAUCUCUUCGUCGCUUUCUUAUUUUUUGGGAAGCAUGCGUUUUGGCUCACAGUUUUCCAAGGUCUCUAUUUCAUGUCAACAGCAACGGAGGAGGAGAAACUUGUCUGUCUUUGCCAUGGCCGCUGACGGUCUCUCUUUCUCUCUCUUUUUCGAUUUUGUCUGUCUUUGCCAGGGCCGCUGACGGUCUCUCUUUCUCUCUCUUUUUCGAUUUUGUCUGUCUUUGCCAGGGCCGCUGACGAGGCAAAGCGUGCAGUACCACUGAAAGAUUACCGCAACAUUGGA
Molecule: unclassified non-coding RNA, 530 nt
Filed under: Hevea brasiliensis (rubber tree)
Lineage: Eukaryota; Viridiplantae; Streptophyta; Magnoliopsida; Malpighiales; Euphorbiaceae
Source: RNAcentral